This 524-nucleotide ribosomal RNA is filed under the name uncultured haloarchaeon. RNAcentral's name for it is "bacterial SSU rRNA". It matches the Rfam family "Archaeal small subunit ribosomal RNA", at positions 1 to 526 of the family's 1478-position model. The record is from RNAcentral. Lineage: Archaea; Methanobacteriati; Methanobacteriota; Halobacteria; Halobacteriales; Halobacteriaceae.
AUUCCGGUUGAUCCUGCCGGAGGCCAUUGCUAUUGGGAUCCGAUUUAGCCAUGCUAGUUGUACGAGUUUAGACUCGUAGCGAAUAGCUCAGUAACACGUGGCCAAACUACCCUUCGGACCACAAUACCCUCGGGAAACUGAGGCUAAUAGUGGAUCACACACUCACACUGGAAUGUCGAGUGUGUCAAACGCUCCGGCGCCGAAGGAUGUGGCUGCGGCCGAUUAGGUAGACGGUGGGGUAACGGCCCACCGUGCCAAUAAUCGGUACGGGUCAUGAGAGUGAGAACCCGGAGACGGAAUCUGAGACAAGAUUCCGGGCCCUACGGGGCGCAGCAGGCGCGAAACCUUUACACUGCACGCCAGUGCGAUAAGGGGAUCCCAAGUGCGCAGGCAUAGAGCCUGCGCUUUUGUCCACCCUAGGGAGGUGGACGAAUAAGGGCUGGGCAAGACCGGUGCCAGCCGCCGCGGUAAUACCGGCAGCCCGAGUGAUGGCCGAUCUUAUUGGGCCUAAAGCGUCCGUAGCU